UCUUAUAGAAAUGGAAUUUAUGCCAUCAUUUUCUAUGUAGGUUGCAUGGCAUCUGAUCCACAGUGGCAGGAAAAAAAAAAUGAUUCCAGAAUAUCUGCAGUGUAUUUUGCUGAAUGUUAACAGCAGGUUCAGAUGUGUUUCAGUUCUGACCUUGUGAAAUGCUUUCUUGCUUAUGCAACGCUUUAUACAUCAAAUGCACAAACUGCAACCAGGGCUUCAACUGCUCACACAAGGAUUCAUUUCUGAAAACAAAUGUUGUUCAGGACCCAAUCACAGACACACAUAAGAAAAUAUAUCAUCAAACAUUCAUAAAGUGAAUUGCAAGGAUGCUGAUUACAAGCUAACGGGUAAUAAUUUCCAUCUGGUUGUGUCUUGCACCUGCUUUACACCCCCAUUCUCAUCUUUCUCUUUGAGGAGGAACAUUUUUGCUUUUUCUUACAAGCGUGG
Long non-coding RNA from Bos indicus x Bos taurus (hybrid cattle), 447 nucleotides. The record is from Ensembl. Lineage: Eukaryota; Metazoa; Chordata; Mammalia; Artiodactyla; Bovidae.